UGGAAUGCUUCAGAUUUCAGGAGGAACACCGAUGGCGAAGUCAGGUUUCUGGGCCGUUACUGACGCUGAGGAGCGAAAGCAUGGGGAGCGAACAGGAUUAGAUACCCUGGUAGUCCAUGCCGUAAACGUUGGGCACUAGGUGUGGGGUCCGUUCCACGGGUUCUGUGCCGCAGCUAACGCAUUAAGUGCCCCGCCUGGGGAGUACGGCCGCAAGGCUAAAACUCAAAGGAAUUGACGGGGGCCCGCACAAGCGGCGGAGCAUGCGGAUUAAUUCGAUGCAACGCGAAGAACCUUACCAAGGCUUGACAUACACCGGAAACAUCCAGAGAUGGGUGCCCCGCAAGGUCGGUGUACAGGUGGUGCAUGGUCAGAGAUGUCGAGUAUUCAAUCAAAUUG
This 396-nucleotide ribosomal RNA is filed under the name bacterium E31. RNAcentral describes it as "bacterial SSU rRNA". It matches the Rfam family "Bacterial small subunit ribosomal RNA", at positions 682 to 1088 of the family's 1533-position model. The record is from RNAcentral.